This is a non-coding RNA of Glycine soja, 110 nucleotides long. The record is from Rfam. Lineage: Eukaryota; Viridiplantae; Streptophyta; Magnoliopsida; Fabales; Fabaceae.
UUUUUAUUGAACGUUGAUCGUUACGUGUUGCAAUUUUAUUGGAGGUUGACAUUAAUUAGGUGUACGAAAUUAACAUCCAAUAAACAUGCAACAUAUGACGGUCAACAUCC